CCUACGGGUGGCAGCAGUGAGGAAUAUUGGUCAAUGGACGAGAGUCUGAACCAGCCAAGUAGCGUGAAAGAUGACUGCCCUAUGGGUUGUAAACUUCUUUUAUAUGGGAAUAAAACGUUCCACGUGUGGGAUUUUGUAUGUACCAUAUGAAUAAGGAUCGGCUAACUCCGUGCCAGCAGCCGCGGUAAUACGGAGGAUCCGAGCGUUAUCCGGAUUUAUUGGGUUUAAAGGGAGCGUAGGUGGAUUGUUAAGUCAGUUGUGAAAGUUUGCGGCUCAACCGUAAAAUUGCAGUUGAAACUGGCAGUCUUGAGUACAGUAGAGGUGGGCGGAAUUCGUGGUGUAGCGGUGAAAUGCUUAGAUAUCACGAAGAACUCCGAUUGCGAAGGCAGUUCACUGGACUGCAACUGACACUGAGGCUCGAAAGUGUGGGUAUCAAACAGGAUUAGAUACCCCAGUAGUC
This 460-nucleotide ribosomal RNA is filed under the name uncultured bacterium. RNAcentral describes it as "partial 16S ribosomal RNA". It matches the Rfam family "Bacterial small subunit ribosomal RNA", at positions 338 to 795 of the family's 1533-position model. The record is from RNAcentral.